CAAGAAGUGUGUGUGUGUCGGACUGUCACGGGACAGUCACAAGAGAGUCAGGAGAUUAGUGCAGUUCUGUGCAGUUGUGAGCAAGGGUGAGUGCAAGGCAGAUUCAGUUUAGAUGCAAUGUAUAUAGUAUAGAAUAAUAAAGUAAUUAUUUAGCCUUCUGAUGAUGGAGUCAGAUGCAUAAUUUUCUCUCCCUCUCACACGGAGUCGCCCUUGAUUAGUAAUAAGUGGUGAACCUGGACAAGUGACUGUGGCCUGGACUGGAGAACCAAGACUCUGAAUUUGGGCAGAGUUCGUAGCAUGGCUGAGCACAGAAAGAAUCUGCCGAGAAAAAAUCCCAGAAGCGUGUCCAGAGAUCGUCGUGGGACAGAUGGGAAGAGCCUCUAGGACCCCGCGGGACCCCGAGCCUGGACGCUGCCACCUGCUUUCCCCAGAGAGAAAGCAUGCGCAGGAGCCGACAUCAGCAGCACCGUCUCUCACUGCUUCGCUCAGGUUGCCAGGAAACGCGAUCAACAGUGGCAGCUGCGAGCAACGGCAGCCUGACCUUGGGGAGGGACGUGCCUCCGCCGCUGAGUGCUGGCCCGAAGACGCUCCGGCAGCCGCGGAGACUCCACCGGCCCCGCCCCUGACAAGGGGUGCGGCCGCCCGCAUCGCGUUGGAGAGCUCGGCUGGCCCCGCGCUGAAUGGCACACCAGAAGUCCCGGCAGCGGAGCCAGUGGAAGAGGGACCACCGCCUCCUCCUCCACCCCUCCUGGGGCUGAGAGACACCCGCAGCUUCGGCGGCGCCGGCCUCGCCCCCACCUACCCCACGGGAGGUGCCGGCCCCGCCCGGGGCGACACUUCCAGCACAGCCAGUGAUGGCUGAGACCGCGGAGGCCCCGCCCGCCGCCGCGGUGGGAAAUGUUGAAGCUGUGGACGAUUCCGACCCACCCCCACUGCCUCCUACCGGCCCGGCUCUGGUUCAGCAUGCCUGCUGUGAUGCUGAGAACAGCGACCAGCCAGCGGAGCCACCCCCACUGCCUCCUGCCGACCCGGUUUCGGUUCCAGAAGAGGCUGAGGACGGCGACCAGCCGGCAGAAUCACCCCGCGCGCCAUCCGCGGCCCCGCCUCCGACGGCGGCUGCUGCAGAGCCCAUGAACAGCCCCACCCCCACCCCCUCCCGCAGCGACGGAGCCCGCGCCGGACCCGCCCCGCCCGGAACCGAGAGAGACAGCAGCAGUGCUUCUUUGCGCGCUCCCGCUGCCCCCGCCGCCUCCGGCGGCAGCUGCCGUGGCACCUGCGGCCGGGCCGGACUCCCCCCCGAUCUUUUCGGGCUGUCCCGAGGCUGCUUCUGCGGGGGUGAGCUGGGACAGCAGCAGGGGGUGUCAGCCUGUCUCCCUGGGGAGGCGUGGCUCGUUUGCUCACAGCAGGUGCCUCCCAGCUGACAACUCUGAAGCUCAGUGCUUUUCUGGGGCAAGACAUUUUUCGCGGGCCGACUCUGGCUUGCUCGGGGGGUUCUCUCUAGGGUUUGGGAUGCAUGGUUCCCCCUGCACGCACCAGUGGCGAGGGUGAGGUCGUUUCCGGAGUUGCUACCUCUGGUCCCAAGCCCCGAGGGGAUGGGGAUGGUACCGCUGAUCAGAGGGCUGGGCAACACUCAUUUGUAUAACGGGGGAGAACGGUGCAGCAGGGAGCAGACGACACUUGCUUGUCCUGGGCAAGUGGGGACCCCAAAUCCAUCAUGGGGAUUCAAAUUCCUGAAAAAGUUUCUCCUUCCCAGCCGCCGACAUGGGCCGCUGGGUCUGGGGGGAGGGGCAAGAAGCGUUUGGUAUAGAUAUUUUUGGAUCUGUGCAGACUUUUGUGUGUUUCUUUUUAAACUAUACCCGUGGGAGCUAGUAUCAAGUUAACAGAGAAAACAUAGGUCCUGCCUUUGAUAUUUCAGGUACAGACAUUUAUACCAAUGCUUUGGCCUGGUGUAAUCACACAUUGCCAUGGCAAAUUGUUGUAAGAGAAGUGGCCCUUGGAUUACUAGACAACAUAUUUUUGAUAUGUGGAAACAGAGUUUGGGAAGGAACACCAGGAAGGGCUUUAGGAAGUCCUUGUACUUUUGGGCAACUGACCAUGUUUCACUCUUUACAAGAAAAUUUAACAUUCUUUCAUAGGCUAGUAUGAACAAAGUGUGGCACCCACACAUAUGGCCAAUAUUGCGAUGAUAGCAUUGAGUCUUGGAACAUUGGACCACAAGUAUUUGCCUCAAUUAUCCCAUCUAUUGGCACAGCACAUGCCUUAAAAACCCUGAAUAACCUUGGCUGUUGGCCUGCGAAACAAACUAAGGCUGCUAGCUCUCCUUUAACAGGCCUAUUAACAGAUGUUGAUAGUGUGACAUGCUAUGCUGCAGAAUAGAACUGCAAUAGAUUUUUUGCUUUUAGCACAUGGACACAGUUGUGAAGACUUUGAAGGCUUAUGCUGCAUGAAUUUAUCUGAUGGCUCUCAUUCUAUUCACGCUGUGAAAAACGCCAAUCACUUGUUUUUGAAAUUUUAAAAGUUUAAUAGUAGUAAUAUAAUCAGAAUAAUAAAGUUUGAACAAUUGAGAUUAGGACAAUAUGAGACAAUAAAAACAAAGAGAUACGGACGUCCGGGUACCUUUUUCUGGGCAACACGAGCCCGAAAAAGGACCCCGGUUAACAGAGGAUUAACUCUUAAAAACAAUUGCCUGUUGCAUAUUCAUACGUCUCAUACAUGAUGCAUAAAUUCCAUUCAAACACAGGAUUCUGUCUGGUCACUGUCAAUUUCUUCCUCUUAAUCCUCAUGCCGUCUUCCUGUCUGAGCAAGGUGGGAAGAAGUUAGUUUUCUGCUGAUAAGGGAGCAAUAAAUUCCCUUUCUCUGAAAGAUUUAGGUGUCCUGUGGCGUCUAUCUGGUGCAAGUCCUUUCUUAACCAAAUAUCUUACAUAGCAUAGUUUCUAUUUUAACAUUAUGUUAUAACCUAAAACUAUAUUUAAUAGUGAAUUUAAUACUUAAGAAAAUUAAUACAGCAUAACUUUCUAACAUAACACAUACAAUAUUCAUUUUAAUACUUGCGAAAAGCCAAUCAUAAAAUACACAUUUUUCACAACGCCAGCAUACAAGCCCUUAGAGACAGUGUCACUAAAUUAAGGGUUGUAGAUUAUAGCAAUUGGCUUGGAUGCAUACUUGGGAAAUGGGGGCUUACUGGCUGCCUUAAGAAUUCAGUUAUGACAGGGAUUUAUGUUUUAGCUAUGUUGCUGCUUAUAGCAAUUUGCUUGCCAUGUGUUUUGCAGUGUGUUCAGAGACUAAUUGAUAAGUCCAUGAAGAAGAUUUUACUGGCAGAAAACAAAGGGGGAGAUGUGGGGUUUCAGCUAGAGAGCAGGGCUGAAACUGACAUAGAUGUGCUAACCUUGGUGGGAUGGAAACCAUGGCAUCAAUGAAUAGGAGUGUGAGGGUGUCUUAGGUUGGAAGUGGGGAUGUGUAUUCUAUUUGCCAUCUGUUAGAGGUGGGGCAGUUUUCUUCUGUUAAUUGGACAGUUUUCUUUAUCUCUUCCACAACCAAUCCCCCCUCCGGGAAAUAUCUUCUAUUAAUAAGCCAUUGAAUCUCACUGCAUGACUGACAAAAUUAUAUCGUCCCAUUGUGAGAUGCUCUGCCCAGGGGGAGGAGCCAAACAUUCCUACCUAGAUAUAAUCUGAGAUUUAGAACACCAGAGCCAGCCUUUUCCCACUAGACUCUCAGAGGAGCAGCUUUUCUUCUUCACUGGAUUCCCAGAGGAAGACCAGGCCCAUCUACACCACUAGACCUUCAGAAGAAAACUACACCCUUCUACAAGAUCACUACUUCAACAAAACCACACCUGUCACUCCAGGAGGACUGCAGCCACCAUUUAAUCAGACUGCUACCAACACCUUGACUAACAGGGUGUCAGGUUGUAUUCUGGCUCUGUCAGUGGGGUUUUUUUGUUUGUUUUUACUAUUGCAUUUGUAUUUUUAAUUUUCCUAGUAAAGAACUGUUAUUCCUAUUCCCAUAUCUUUACCUGAGAGCCUCUUAAUUUCAAAAUUAUAAUAAUUCAGAGAGAGGAAGUUUACAUUUUCAAUUUCAAGACAGUCUCCUGCCUUCCUUAACAAACACCUGUCUUUUCAAACCAAGAUGGGGGGAAGUGAAAAGGAAUGUUAUACUUUCUUUUAGAGUAGCCAGGUAGAACUGCACCUGCAGAACUGUGGUUAAGCAACAUAGUUGAGACAUGAGUGAUGUAGUUAUUGUUUAGUAGUGGAAAAUUUUAGCUGAUGUUGUAAAACUAUAUAAACCCUGCUUCACAAAGAAUAAACGGCUUCUUCUUGCAUACGA
Pyrgilauda ruficollis (rufous-necked snowfinch) is the source of this 4323-nucleotide long non-coding RNA. RefSeq lists it as uncharacterized. NCBI's taxonomy places the organism in Eukaryota, Metazoa, Chordata, Aves, Passeriformes, Passeridae. The transcript is spliced from 2 exons. The record is from RefSeq and is a predicted model, not a curated record.